CAAAGAAACCAACUGACAAACAAGG
RNAcentral lists this non-coding RNA (25 nucleotides) under Cricetulus griseus (Chinese hamster). Lineage: Eukaryota; Metazoa; Chordata; Mammalia; Rodentia; Cricetidae. The record is from RNAcentral.